RNAcentral lists this ribosomal RNA (460 nucleotides) under uncultured bacterium. RNAcentral describes it as "partial 16S ribosomal RNA". It matches the Rfam family "Bacterial small subunit ribosomal RNA", at positions 338 to 795 of the family's 1533-position model. The record is from RNAcentral.
CCUACGGGUGGCAGCAGUGAGGAAUAUUGGUCAAUGGACGAGAGUCUGAACCAGCCAAGUAGCGUGAAGGAUGACUGCCCUAUGGGUUGUAAACUUCUUUUAUAUGGGAAUAAAACGUUCCACGUGUGGGAUUUUGUAUGUACCAUAUGAAUAAGGAUCGGCUAACUCCGUGCCAGCAGCCGCGGUAAUACGGAGGAUCCGAGCGUUAUCCGGAUUUAUUGGGUUUAAAGGGAGCGUAGGUGGAUUGUUAAGUCAGUUGUGAAAGUUUGCGGCUCAACCGUAAAAUUGCAGUUGAAACUGGCAGUCUUGAGUACAGUAGAGGUGGGCGGAAUUCGUGGUGUAGCGGUGAAAGGCUUAGAUAUCACGAAGAACUCCGAUUGCGAAGGCAGCUCACUGGACUGCAACUGACACUGAGGCUCGAAAGUGUGGGUAUCAAACAGGAUUAGAGACCCGAGUAGUC